This 497-nucleotide ribosomal RNA is filed under the name uncultured bacterium. RNAcentral describes it as "partial 16S ribosomal RNA". It matches the Rfam family "Bacterial small subunit ribosomal RNA", at positions 28 to 507 of the family's 1533-position model. The record is from RNAcentral.
GAUGAACGCUGGCGGCGUGCCUAAUACAUGCAAGUCGAGCGAACAGACGAGGAGCUUGCUCCUCACACGUGAGCGGCGGACGGGUGAGUAACACGUGGAUAACCUACCUAUCAGACUGGGAUAACUUCGGGAAACCGGAGCUAAUACCGGAUAAUAUAUUGAACCGCAGGGUUCAAUAGUGAAAGACGGUUUUGCUGGCGCUUAUAGAUUGUUCCGCGCCGCAUUAGAUAGUUGGUAAGGUAACGGCUUACCACGACAACGAUGCGUAGCCGACCUGAGCGGUGGAUCGGCCACACGGGAACGGAGACACGGUCCAGACUCCUACGGGAGGCAGCAGUAGGGAAUCUUCCGCAGCAGGCGAAAGCCUUACGGAGCAACGCCGCGUGAGUGAUGAAGGUCUUGGGAUCGUAAAGCUCUGUUACUAGGGAAGAACAAAUGUGUAAGUAACUAUGCACGUCUUGACGGUACCUGAUGAGAAAGCCACGGCUAACUACGUG